Molecule: non-coding RNA, 47 nt
Organism: Pongo abelii (Sumatran orangutan)
Lineage: Eukaryota; Metazoa; Chordata; Mammalia; Primates; Hominidae
Source: Rfam
CCAAAGGCUCUUUUCAGGGCCACUUAACCACCUCAGUGAAAGAAUCU